Long non-coding RNA from Zophobas morio, 958 nucleotides. RefSeq lists it as uncharacterized. The record is from RefSeq and is a predicted model, not a curated record. Lineage: Eukaryota; Metazoa; Arthropoda; Insecta; Coleoptera; Tenebrionidae. The transcript is spliced from 9 exons.
CUUUGUCUUUUGGCUCUUUAGGCCAAAUUGGGAUCGGUUACUUUCUUGGUAAAGUUCAGAGCUUUCUACCUUUCCAUGAGUUUCCUCAAUUUACAGUAUUGAUUCCUAUUUUACUUGGCUUGAAAGGAAAUAUAGAUAUGACUUUGGUUUCAAGAUUGACAACGGCUUUUGGAAAUUCCAAUGCGCCUUAUGAGAAAAAUAUUGGGAAACUUUUUGUUAUAAACUUAAUAAUAGUUCAGUGUGGCUUCCAUUUUAGCGUUUACUUAUGGCUUCAUUUUCCAUGGAGAUGGCGAUCUCUGGAGUCUGGAGAAGCUUGUUAUAAGCGGCGUCUUGUCCGGCUCGUUGUCUUCUGCAGUAAUGGGCUUCAUCACGUGCUUUGUAGUCGCGUGGAGCCGCUUUGCCCACGUGGAUCCUGAUAAUUUUGCCUUGCCUAUUUUGGCUAGUUUGGGCGACUUCUGCAUUUUGGCCUUUUACGGCUCGUUUGCCCGGGGAUUGUUCGGUCUCGGAUCGGUCGCCCACCGCGAGUUUGCAUGUUUAUUAAAUGUUUUACUUCUUCUUCUUACGGCUCUUUGGACUUUCCUCGCUAUCAAUAUAAAACCUUGUAAGGAAGUCUUAAGUAAAGAUUGGGCUCCGCUGCUCCUUUCUAUGCUUAUUUCAAGCGGAGCUGGUCUUCUUCUAGAGCAUUCGGUUGACAGAAAUCCGGAGCUCACGUUUUUUCUUCCAGUUAUUAGUGGCCUUGGAGGAAACUUUGGGGCGUUGAACGCUUCCAAACUUUCCACGUGGGCAAAGAAGUUAAAGAAUGCUCCGGAAAAAUUUUCUCACUUGGCGAUUUCGUCGUGCUUAAAUUUACAAUUUUUGGUGCUUCCCGUAACAAUUGCUUCAAUAUUUUUGGUUGUGCACAUCAACAAUAUAAAGUUUGAUUUAUUACUUUCCAGUCUCUUUUUUGUUUCCGCUGAAA